This 395-nucleotide ribosomal RNA is filed under the name uncultured bacterium. RNAcentral describes it as "bacterial SSU rRNA". It matches the Rfam family "Bacterial small subunit ribosomal RNA", at positions 505 to 898 of the family's 1533-position model. The record is from RNAcentral.
GUGUCAGCAGCCGCGGUAAUACGGGGGGUGCAAGCGUUGUUCGGAAUCAUUGGGCGUAAAGGGCGUGUAGGCGGCUAGAUAAGUCAGAUGUGAAAUCCCUGGGCUUAACCCAGGAAGUGCAUUUGAAACUGUUUGGCUUGAGUAGGGGAGAGGAAAGUGGAAUUCCUGGUGUAGAGGUGAAAUUCGUAGAUAUCAGGAGGAACACCGGUGGCGAAGGCGACUUUCUGGCCCUAUACUGACGCUGAGACGCGAAAGCGUGGGUAGCAAACAGGAUUAGAUACCCUGGUAGUCCACGCUGUAAACGAUGUUCACUAGGUGUUGGGGGUAUUGACCCCCUCAGUGCCGCAGCUAACGCAUUAAGUGAACCGCCUGGGGAGUACGGUCGCAAGACUAAA